RNAcentral lists this ribosomal RNA (801 nucleotides) under Triticum aestivum (bread wheat). RNAcentral describes it as "partial small subunit ribosomal RNA". The record is from RNAcentral. Lineage: Eukaryota; Viridiplantae; Streptophyta; Magnoliopsida; Poales; Poaceae.
AUGGCGGCGGGGCGGCAGCAGCGGGUGGUGGUGAUGCGGCACGGGGACCGGCUGGACCACGCGGAGCCCAUGUGGCCGGCCAACAAGCCGCGGCCGUGGGACCCGCCGCUGACCGACGCCGGCGUCCUCCGGGCCUGGACCGUCGGCAAGCGCAUCCGGGCGCAGGCCGCCGCCGACGGCUACGCGCUCCACCGCGUCCUCGUCUCCCCCUUCCACCGCUGCCUCCAGACCGCCGCCCAGGCCGUCGCCGCGCUCUGCGCCGUCCCCGACGACGCCGCGCUCGCCGCCGUCCUCGACUCCAGCGCCAAUGUGCCCCUCGACACCUCCCGCGUCAAGGUGUCGAUCGAGUAUGGACUGUCUGAGAUGAUGAAUGUUGAAGCGAUGGGCGCUCUUGUCAGCCAGGUCGCGCCCAGUGUCGAGAAGUGGUUCCCUGACCAGGCAGAACUCGAAGCCAUCUUACCACCUGGAACCAUCGACCAUUCUACACAACCGCUCUUCCCAGAGGUACCCAAGUGGGGAGAAUCUGUGAGGGGGGCAAGGAUCAGAUACGCUAGUGUUAUCAAGGCUCUGGCCGACAAAUACCCCAACGAGAACCUACUCUUGGUAACACACGGGGAGGGCGUCGGUUCGUCGGUGGCGUGCUUCGGGGCGACGGGCAUGGAGGUCUACGAGGUGGAGUACUGCGCAUACGCCGUGCUUGAGAAGCAGCCUGGCGGUGUGGGUGGCGGUGAUGAGAGCGUGCUCAAGGUGGUGGCGGAUCGAAGCGGCCCGACCACGGGCAUACACUACCUGGUCACCUGA